RNAcentral lists this ribosomal RNA (1223 nucleotides) under Philophylla millei. RNAcentral's name for it is "partial 16S ribosomal RNA". Lineage: Eukaryota; Metazoa; Arthropoda; Insecta; Diptera; Tephritidae. The record is from RNAcentral.
UGCAAAUCAAUAUAAAUUGAUAUUAAUAUUUAUUUAUUAUUUAUUUGUAUUUAUUUAUUUAUUUAUAAUUUAUUAAAAAUAAUUAUAUAAUUUAUUGUUUUAGUAGUGUUUAUUGAAAAAAUAAUUUUAAUAAUAGUUUAUUAGGUAUUGUGAAAGGUUAUUGAAAUAUUUGAAAAAUUUAUAUUUAAAAAGAAAAUUUAAUUUAUUGUACCUUGUGUAUCAGGGUUUAUUAAAUAUUUUAUAAAUAUUUAUUUAUCUCGAUUUUAUAAGAGUUAAUAAUUUAUAAAAGUUAAUGUGUCAAAAUUAUUUUAAAUAAAUUAUUAGAAAUGAAAUGUUAUUCGUUUAUAAAGGUAUCUAGUUUUUUUAGAAAUAAAUUUAAUUUACAAAAUUUUAAUUUUUAUUUUUUUUUAAAAAAAAAUAAAAAUUUAUUAUUUUGAAUAUUUUAAGGGAUAAGCUUUAAAAUAAAUUUUUAAAAAUUAGUAAUGAUUAUUAAAAAUGUAUGCAUAGAAUUAGCAAUCAUUUAUAAGUUUGUUAUAAAUUAUUUUAUAUUUAUAUUAUUUAUUUUAUUUUAAAUUUUAUAUAAAAAUUUUUAUUUUAAUAUAAUUUGUUAAUUAAUAAUGAUAAAAUUAGUAUAUAUUAUUGUUUAAAUAAUUUAAAAUGUUAAGUUUAUAUAAAGAAUUCGGCAAAUUUUAUUCUCGCCUGUUUAACAAAAACAUGUCUUUUUGUAUUAUAUAAAAAGUCUGACCUGCCACUGAAUUUAUUUAAAUGGCCGCAGUAUACUAACUGUGCAAAGAUAGCAUAAUCAUUAGUCUUUUAAUUGAAGGCUGGAAUGAACGGUUGGACGAAGUAUAAGCUGUUUCAUUUAAAUUUAUUAUAGAAUUUUAUUUUUUAGUCAAAAAGCAAAAAUUUUUUCAAAAGACGAGAACACCCUAUAAAUCUUUAUAUUUUUUAAUAAUUAAAUUUUAUAGAUUAAUUUUGUUUUUAUAUUAAUAAAUAUUUUGUUGGGGUGAUAUUAAAAUUUAAUAAACUUUUAAUUUUAUUAAUUCAUUAAUUUAUGAUUUGUUGAUCCGUUAAUAGCGAUUAUAAGAUUAAGUUACUUUAGGGAUAACAGCGAAAUUUUUUUGGAGAGUUCAUAUCGAUAAAAAAGUUUGCAACCUCGAUGUUGGAUUAAGAUUUAUUUUUAGGUGUAGCUGCUUAAAUAUAAAGUCUGUUCGACUUUUAAA